RNAcentral lists this ribosomal RNA (403 nucleotides) under Verrucomicrobiota bacterium. RNAcentral's name for it is "Verrucomicrobia bacterium partial 16S ribosomal RNA". It matches the Rfam family "Bacterial small subunit ribosomal RNA", at positions 355 to 776 of the family's 1533-position model. Lineage: Bacteria; Pseudomonadati; Verrucomicrobiota. The record is from RNAcentral.
UGGGGAAUAUUGCACAAUGGAGGGAACUCUGAUGCAGCGACGCCGCGUGAACGAAGAAGGCUUUCGAGUCGUAAAGUUCUUUUAUAUGGGAAGAUAAUGACGGUACCAUAAGAAAAAGCCCCGGCUAACUACGUGCCAGCAGCCGCGGUAAUACGUAGGGGGCUAGCGUUAUCCGGAUUUACUGGGCGUAAAGGGUGCGUAGGUGGUCCUUCAAGUCGGUGGUUAAAGGCUACGGCUCAACCGUAGUAAGCCGCCGAAACUGGAGGACUUGAGUGCAGGAGAGGAAAGUGGAAUUCCCAGUGUAGCGGUGAAAUGCGUAGAUAUUGGGAGGAACACCAGUAGCGAAGGCGGCUUACGGGAGCGCAACUGACGCUGAAGCUCGAAGGUGCGGGUAUCGAACAGG